RNAcentral lists this ribosomal RNA (467 nucleotides) under uncultured bacterium. RNAcentral's name for it is "partial 16S ribosomal RNA". It matches the Rfam family "Bacterial small subunit ribosomal RNA", at positions 28 to 507 of the family's 1533-position model. The record is from RNAcentral.
GACGAACGCUGGCGGCGUGCUUAACACAUGCAAGUCGAACGGAAAGGCCCUGCUUUUGUGGGGUGCUCGAGUGGCGAACGGGUGAGUAACACGUGAGUAACCUGCCCUUGACUUUGGGAUAACUUCAGGAAAUGGGGCUUAUUACCGGUAGGAGCCUCUUGCUCAAGGGUGGGGGUUGAAAGUUUCGGCGGUUUGGGGUGGACUCGCGGCUUAUCAGCUUGUUGGUGGGGUAGUGGCUUACCAAGGCUUUGACGGGUAGCCGGCCUGAGAGGGUGACCGGCCACAUUGGGACUGAGAUACGGCCCAGACUCCUACGGGAGGCAGCAGUGGGGAAUAUUGCACAAUGGGCGGAAGCCUGAUGCAGCAACGCCGCGUGCGGGAUGACGGCCUUCGGGUUGUAAACCGCUUUCGCCUGUGACGAAGCGUGAGUGACGGUAAUGGGUAAAGAAGCACCGGCUAACUACGUG